GUGGGCAAUCUGCCCUGCACUCUGGGACAACUCCGGGAAACCGGGGCUAAUACCGGAUAUGACGCACUCCUGCAUGGGGGUGUGUGGAAAGCUCCGGCGGUGCAGGAUGAGCCCGCGGCCUAUCAGCUUGUUGGUGGGGUGAUGGCCUACCAAGGCGACGACGGGUAGCCGGCCUGAGAGGGCGACCGGCCACACUGGGACUGAGACACGGCCCACACUCCUACGGGAGGCAGCAGUGGGGAAUAUUGCACAAUGGGCGAAAGCCUGAUGCAGCGACGCCGCGUGAGGGAUGACGGCCUUCGGGUUGUAAACCUCUUUCAGCAGGGAAGAAGCGCAAGUGACGGUACCUGCAGAAGAAGCACCGGCUAACUACGUGCCAGCAGCCGCGAUAAUACGUAGGGUGCGAGCGUUGUCCGGAAUUAUUGCGCGUAAAGAGCUCGUAGGCGGCCUGUCGCGUCAGAUGUGAAAGCCCGGGGCUUAACCCCGGGUCUGCUUUCCAAUUCGGCAAGGCUAAAAUUUUCGGAGGGAAAAA
RNAcentral lists this ribosomal RNA (532 nucleotides) under Peterkaempfera griseoplana. RNAcentral describes it as "bacterial SSU rRNA". It matches the Rfam family "Bacterial small subunit ribosomal RNA", at positions 117 to 662 of the family's 1533-position model. Lineage: Bacteria; Bacillati; Actinomycetota; Actinomycetes; Kitasatosporales; Streptomycetaceae. The record is from RNAcentral.